GGGGUUGUGGCUCAGUGGUAGAGUGCUCGCCUAGCAUGUGUGAGGCCCUGGGUUCAAUCCUCAGCACCA
Molecule: transfer RNA, 69 nt
Filed under: Marmota marmota marmota (Alpine marmot)
Lineage: Eukaryota; Metazoa; Chordata; Mammalia; Rodentia; Sciuridae
Also listed under: 3 other names
Rfam family: tRNA
About the family: Transfer RNA (tRNA) molecules are approximately 80 nucleotides in length.
Source: Rfam by way of RNAcentral